This is a long non-coding RNA of Anguilla anguilla (European eel), 2830 nucleotides long. RefSeq lists it as uncharacterized. The record is from RefSeq and is a predicted model, not a curated record. NCBI's taxonomy places the organism in Eukaryota, Metazoa, Chordata, Actinopteri, Anguilliformes, Anguillidae. The transcript is spliced from 2 exons.
CAAUUGUAAAGCGCUUUGGAUAAAAGUGCUAUAUAAAUGCAGCCCAUUUACCAUUCUACCGAGACUGCUUGAUUUGAUAUGAGUAGAACCCAUAGAGGUAAAUGUCACGACAGUCUCAUCACCACUAAUGCCUACCAACCUGCAGCAAAAAAUACAGCAAGAACUGUGUCUAACCAUAGGACACACAUCAAGUUUGACCUGCUUAAUAUUAGAUUACUCUCCACCAAGGCAGUUCUCCUUAAUGGGCUAAUCACUGAUUACACACUUGAUGCCCUCUCUCUCGCUCAAACAUGGUUCAGGCCUGAGGAGUUACAUUCCCCUAAACAAGACGUCUCCACGAGGCUACACCAGCAGUCAGACCACAUGUGUAACUGGUAAAGGUGGGGAUUUGCUGAGAUAUCUGAUGCCACCUUCAGUCGCCCAUUAAAAACUAAGUACGUGUUUUCAUCUAUUGAGGUCAUGGUUAUGGACUUCAUGCUGGUAUUUACAAAAAAAGUGACUAUAAACAAACCGUCUGUUCCCUAUGAAUGUUCCUUAUGGAAUUUUACAAUUUCUUGUCAGCUCUUGCAACCAUGGCUGACAGUGUUGUGAUUUUAGGUUAUUUUAGCCUCUUAAGUCAGCCAGAGUGUGUUAAUUUGAAUUCAUUCAGUUUUUUUAAGGUGAAAUUUUAGAUCAGCCUGGUCACACGAUAUACUGUUUGAAAGUGUUAAAAUUCAGGAUUCUAUCUCUUUGAACUAUUUUACAGUGCCAAAGGUAUUUUGUAACAUAUGGGGUGGCAAAACAAGCUUUCCUCGCCAUCUAUGCAUUUUGAAAAUCCACAGACGACAUGAAUCACGGUAAAAUUCGUUAUUUUAUCAAGGAUCCAGCGAACAAUGUCCACAGUGAUUUUUAGUCCAAAAAAACCUUAACUCACAGAAGCAUUGACAGAAUGUGCAUUAUUUACUUCCUGAGGAAUUAUCAUUGUUGUCUUUGUUGCCAGUGGUGAGAUGUUAUAGUGACAACUGAAAAGCACUUUAGCUGAUGAAAUUACAUUUCUAUCGAUAUAUAGUUUGUUAGGCUUGCAUGAAAGCACACAUACUGUUUCUCCUGCUUAAACAAACCGUAAGUUUUUCAGUAUACAUGCUAAAAAUUUUGUGCACCAGUGAGUAAAGUUCUUAAGGCUUUAUGCCUAAAAAGUUGCUGUUUUACAAUAAAAAUGAUUUUGCAAUGCCUAGUUCUAAACAGAAGACUUGAAAUUUGGAGGCUUUGGAAGAAUUCACUCAUCUGAGGAGGAUAGCUUUGACUCCAGAGCAGAGGGCAUAUAUAACGACAUGAUCCCAUUUUAUAUCAGUGAGAAUGUAAAUACAUUCUCAAAAUAUAUUUAUUAUUCGGAAUGCAUAUAAAUAAGGAGUAGGCCUGAUUUUGAAUAAUAAAUUUAGCACGUGAAAUUGUGGGAUGUAUUUGACAUUGAUGGGGGUGGGGUAUUUGACAAAAACUUUAAUCAAUGGACCUCAAUCAAUGGAUUAGUAAACUAGUUAUUGUUAAUAUAGUUCUUUUCUACAAUCUUCCAGACCUGCUGCUGCCAGAGGUGGCAAGGGGAGAGCAAGGAGAGGAAGGUGAAGAGGGUGGGAUCGCAGAGGAAGAGAGGAGGACAGUGACAGGCAGCAGAAAAGAGAGCGAAUGGAGCCUGGAUCUUGUUUAUAAGUAUAAUGACUUGGUGUCCAUGCUAAUGGACCCUGGACUUCGUUGCACCUUUCCAGAGGAAAAGUCCAGCCAAAAGAAGUUAGCCCCUUGCUACAACAGAAACACACAGGCCCUCAAGAAGGCCUCAAAAGAAAAAUGGCAUCCCAUCAUAGGCCUGCUAGUUCCAUGGAUCCUAUCCUAGGCCUGCUUCAGAAGAGUUCCGUGGAUCCUAUUCUAGACCUGCUAGUUUCCUGGAUCUUAUCCAAGGCCUGCUAGUUUCCUGGAUCUUAUCCUAGGCCUGCUAGUUUCCUGGAUCCUAUCCUAAACCUACUAGUUUCCUGGAUCCUAUCCUGAGCCUGCUAGUUUCCCUGAUCCUAUCCUAGGCCUGCUAGUUUCCUGGAUCCAAUCCUAGGCCUGCUAGUUUCCUGGAUCCUAUCCUAGGCCUGCUAGUUUCCCGGAUCCUAUCCUAGGCCUGCUAGUUUCCUGGAUCCUAUGCUAAGCCUGCUAGUUUCCUGGAUCCUAUCCUAGGCCUGCUAGUUUCCUGGAUCCUAUCCUAGGCCUGCUAGUUUCCUGGAUCCAAUCCUACGCCUGCUAGUCCCAUGGAUAAUAUCAUAAGCCUGCUUCAGAAGAGUUCCCUGGAUCCUAUCCUAAGCCUGCUAGUUUCCUGGAUCCAAUCCUAGGCCUGCUUCAGGUUUGGGUCUCCCCUGCACUGAGCCAUGUAGCAUGCGGUGCAUGUUGGACAUUUUUAUAGCCUGUUGUAUGCAGUUUGACUGAGUCAAUCUGCAUUAUGCUGUUCUAGCUAAAGAAGCACCCAGCCCUGGGUCAUUGGAUGACUAACACAGAGAAAGAAAAUGACAAGUGAACUUUGUCAGCAGUGACUGUUAGAAUGUUACUGGACUUCCUGUGUGGAAAGCCUUCCAUUUCUGGGUUUGUCAAACGGUAUCUAAAAGGUCAUUGGGUGUGCGAUGGAUAUUGCUCAACACUUGCUCAGCUGAUAUUUCUCAGUAUGUUAACUGGUGAAUAAAAUUCCUUUUCCAUUUAGCUUUGCCUAAGCCUUUUGUUGAUAUAUUGCUUAUUUGAUGUACACUCAAAUAUAAUAAGGUGGUGUAAUUCCUGAGAAUUAAAUCAUAACUGUAAGGCAGGAAAAAAAUAAAUGUUCCAAAUUGAA